Cyprinus carpio (common carp) is the source of this 1406-nucleotide long non-coding RNA. The record is from Ensembl. Lineage: Eukaryota; Metazoa; Chordata; Actinopteri; Cypriniformes; Cyprinidae.
CAAGCCAUGAUGACAUUUUAUUUCACAUGACAUUGCGUUUACGUUGGCUCUCGUGUUGAGCUUUUUCAUCCGCGACUCAUUUGGCGAGAAGGGUAUAACUGCAGCCUGGUGAUCUCCAACUGGGGGCGGGAACUCCAAAACGGGCUGGGAGCUCCAAAAUAGCUUCCUCCCAUUGACAGAUAGGCACAUGACACACAUGCGCAUUUUUCCCCCAAUCCUCUUCAGUGCAAACUCCACCCCACAGCUGAUUCUAAAGAUUUUAUUGGUUGUGUCGAUUAAAGUGUUGAUUUCCUAUACUUCAAAAAAAUGCUAACCCCUAAACCUACCCCACACCUGACCCUAACCUUAACCACACAGUAAAAAACGUUGGUUGUUUUUUUUAACCCAACCGUUGGGUUACACAUAUUGGGUCAAUCUGUUGGGUUAUCUUAAAAUUUGUUGGGUCAUUUAUUUUCUGCGUUGGGUUAUUUUUAGUUAUAACCCAACUGUUGGGUUAAAUAUGUUUCCCGCUUCACUCCGGUUCAAAUUUUAACGGUCCAGUCAGCGACUCAGUGGACAUCAGCGGCAGCCUGCCUGAUUAUGAAAGAUAAAUGGAUUUCUUUGUAAAGGAAAGAUUACAACAGUGGAACCUCUGCAAUUUAAUAGAAACAUUUCAAGAGCUUCAGUGUUUACAGUACUGGCCAAUGCAUGCGUGUGAUGCUGACGGAGGAGCCGUUCAAUAAUGAGUCAGCGUUUGGAUGUUGGUACUAAUAUGGUGCACUACCUCAAUAAUGAGACAAGCCAGGAUCCACAUGUCUUGGUGCUUGGAGACAAAGAAAAUUCCUCCCAAGUUUUUAUCAUUUUCAUUGGAGAGGCAGUUGAAAAGGAGACCUUACUUCAAGCAGUGAACGUAUGCUUCAAAAUGUUCUACAUCUAUGACAUAAACUACCCAAAGCCCUCUCCUCCAAUUUGGGAGUUCUUGCAGCAUGCAGUCUAUAAUAUUCCUGGAGGAGUUCCUUUUGCACAUUGCUGCCUCCUAAAAAACUUUGUAUUCAAAGUUACUGAUCAUCAGUAGAUCCAGUAGCCAAAACACAAAUUAAAGGGUUAGUUCACACAAAAAUGAAAAUUCUGUCAUUAAUUACUCACCCUCAUGUUGUUCCAAACCCAAGACCUCCGUUCAUCUUUGGAACACAAAUUAAGAUAUUUUUGCAUUCUGACAGCUCUCUGACCCUCCCAUAGACAGCAAGGGUCCUUACACCAUCAAUGUCCAGAAACUUAGCAAGGAGAUUGGUAAAAUAAUCCAUGUGACAUCAGGGGUUCAACCGUAACAGCAUACGCUGUUGAGUGGAUACUGUCCAAAAUGGCACUAGGGUGACACGGAGGAGACGAAUUGUUGAAUAAAGUCAUAAUUUUUUUGCUUUUGCCCA